CACGUAGGGGGCGAGCGUUGUCCGGAUUUAUUGGGCGUAAAGAGCUCGUAGGCGGUUCGAUAAGUCGGGUGUGAAAACUCUGGGCUCAACUCAGAGACGCCACCCGAUACUGUUGUGACUUGAGUCCGGUAGGGGAGUAUGGAAUUCCCGGUGUAGCGGUGAAAUGCGCAGAUAUCAGGAGGAACACCAGUGGCGAAGGCGGUGCUCUGGGCCGGAACUGACGCUGAGACGCGAAAGCGUGGGGAGCAAACAGG
Molecule: ribosomal RNA, 254 nt
Filed under: uncultured bacterium
Lineage: Bacteria
Description: partial 16S ribosomal RNA
Rfam family: Bacterial small subunit ribosomal RNA
Source: RNAcentral